AUUGAACGCUGGCGGCAGGCCUAACACAUGCAAGUCGAGCGGAUGAAGGGAGCUUGCUCCUGGAUUCAGCGGCGGACGGGUGAGUAAUGCCUGGAAUCUGCCUGGUAGUGGGGGAUAACGUCCGGAAACGGGCGCUAAUACCGCAUACGUCCUGAGUGAGAAAGUGGGGGAUCUUCGGGCCUCACGCUAUCAGAUGAGCCUAGGUCGGGUUAGCUAGUUGGUGGGGUAACGGCCUACCAAGGCGACGAUCCGUAACGGGUCUGAGAGGAUGAUCAGUCACACUGGAACUGAGACACGGCCCAGGCUCCUACGGGAGGCAGCAGUGGGGAAUAUUGGAAACUGGGCGAAAGCCUGAUCCAGCCAUGCCGGGUGUGUGAAGAAGGUCUUCGGAUUGUAAAGCACUUUAAGUGGGGAGGAAGGGCAGUAAGUUAAUACAUUGCUGUUUUGACGUUACCAAUAGAAUAAGCACCGGCUAACUUCGU
This 482-nucleotide ribosomal RNA is filed under the name uncultured bacterium. Its description in RNAcentral is "partial 16S ribosomal RNA". It matches the Rfam family "Bacterial small subunit ribosomal RNA", at positions 30 to 506 of the family's 1533-position model. The record is from RNAcentral.